Molecule: non-coding RNA, 637 nt
Organism: Drosophila melanogaster (fruit fly)
Lineage: Eukaryota; Metazoa; Arthropoda; Insecta; Diptera; Drosophilidae
Source: Ensembl
CUCGUUGCGAAACGACUGAAAACAUUUUCAGCCUCAAUUGCAUUCGUUUGGACGGAGGAUGGAGGAACAGGCGCGGGAACAGGAACCACUGCCAGGAGGGAAGCCAAAGGCAGACAUUCAGCCCGCCAGAAGAUUGCGAAAAACGCCCAAAGGCGCAGGCCAAGGAUGCUGGGAUGCUAGGUUGCUGGGAUGUGAGUGCCGGUGGAAGGGGAUCCUGCGAUGGUGAGCCUGUGAAUUUGUCAAAGAGUUGUGCAAACAUUCGGGGGAACGGGUAGCCGAAAACAAGAGCAACAACAAAUCGAAUGCAAUCAAAAUUAAAGCGCUUAGAGCUGUGACAACAGCGGAGCAAACAAUCGCCGAGCCGUAGUAAGGAGCGCAAUCCUUUCGGGGAUUUCGCACAAAGCAUCCCUGGGAUGUCCUGCCGGCAAUUUAAGCGAAUUAAAACGGAGUUCGUAUUGAUUUAGGCUAUUUUUUUUUUCUGCCCAGCUCCGAAUAAAAACGAAAUACCCGACGAAGGACGAAGAAAUCUCCUGCUGUGGCUUAAGAAAAAGAAAUUAUAUAUAGAGUAUACACAGUGUAUUGAAGAAAACAGAGUAAGCUAAGGGGGAAAACAUGCAAACAAAAACAAAAUUACGGC